RNAcentral lists this ribosomal RNA (501 nucleotides) under uncultured bacterium. Its description in RNAcentral is "partial 16S ribosomal RNA". It matches the Rfam family "Bacterial small subunit ribosomal RNA", at positions 30 to 523 of the family's 1533-position model. The record is from RNAcentral.
AUUGAACGCUGGCGGCAGGCUUAACACAUGCAAGUCGAGCGGAGAUGAGGUGCUUGCACCUUAUCUUAGCGGCGGACGGGUGAGUAAUGCUUAGGAAUCUGCCUACUAGUGGGGGACAACAUUCCGAAAGGAAUGCUAAUACCGCAUACGUCAUACGGGAGAAAGCAGGGGAUCUUCGGACCUGGCGCUACAAGAUGCGACUAUGUCGGAUUAGCUAGUUGGGGGGGUAAAGGCCUACCAAGGCGACGAGCUGGAGCGGGUCUGAGAGGAUGAUCCGCCACACUGGGACUGAGACACGGCCCAGACUCCUACGGGAGGCAGAAGUGGGGAAUAUUGGACAAUGGGGGGAACCCUGAUCCAGCCAUGCCGCGUGUGUGAAGAAGGCCUUAUGGUUGUAAAGCACUUUAAGCGAGGAGGAGGCUACUGAGACUAAUACUCUUGGAUAGUGGACGUUACUCGCAGAAUAAGCACCGGCUAACUCUGUGCCAGCAGCCGCGGUAA